Molecule: long non-coding RNA, 473 nt
Filed under: Pelobates cultripes (western spadefoot toad)
Lineage: Eukaryota; Metazoa; Chordata; Amphibia; Anura; Pelobatidae
Source: RNAcentral
GUACUUACAAUGCAUUGAUUUGUAAACGAGAUGCAGGUCAAGAAAAUUUAGAAUCAUCAGAAAAAGAAGUAGAUUUGAAUGGGUUAACAGAAGACAAAUCAGAUUUAAAUGAACAGUGUAACAAUGUAACAGAGAGAACAUUGUCAGAAAAAGUCUGUGAAUUAGAGGAUAGAGAUGAACUAAGAAAUGAUUUUAGUUGCCAGUUUACAAAUGAAGUAAAGCAAGUGUGUGUUAAUACAAGAAAAGUAAAGGCACAGAAUCUAAUCCCAGAACUAACAGAUACUGAAAAUGUAUCCUCACUGAGUGAUUUGCAGAAAUGUAAAUUUCAAGACAGAACUGCAAAACUUAAUUUGAAAAUCCAUGAACAAUUAAUGAAAAUUGUGAAAUGUAUUCCAGUUUAUGACACGUCAGUGGAUGCAUUUACUAAUGCUGAAAUGUUUGAGUCAAAUGUGGACAAAUACAGCCUAAAUGAC